GGCGUAAGGCACCGUUCGGGCCUCAUCCUUCGUGACGCCCUGCUUUGCAGAGCUCCUCAGGAUGAGGAAUCAGCGAUAGCGCCCAGGGAAACGGCUCCUCAUCCUAAGGGGCGCCGCGAAGAGGCGCGUCUCGAAGGAUGAGGCCGAGGUCCUUAACUCGAUCAGCCCCUCUUCCGCCUUGUAUUCUCCGUGAACCCAUGUUUCACACGGGCCGACCAAAGGGGCAGCAAAAGGCCAAUCAGCGAGAUGGCGCGAAGGUUUUCCGCG
RNAcentral lists this unclassified non-coding RNA (267 nucleotides) under uncultured fungus. RNAcentral's name for it is "sequence contains ITS1". The record is from RNAcentral. Lineage: Eukaryota; Fungi.